CGGACGGGUGAGUAACGCGUGGGUGACCUGCCCCAUACCGGGGGAUAACAGCUGGAAACGGCUGCUAAUACCGCAUAAGCGCACAGAGCUGCAUGGCUCAGUGUGAAAAACUCCGGUGGUAUGGGAUGGGCCCGUGUCUGAUUAGGCAGUUGGCGGGGUAACGGCCCACCAAACCGACGAUCAGUAGCCGGCCUGAGAGGGCGACCGGCCACAUUGGGACUGAGACACGGCCCAA
RNAcentral lists this ribosomal RNA (235 nucleotides) under uncultured bacterium. Its description in RNAcentral is "partial 16S ribosomal RNA". It matches the Rfam family "Bacterial small subunit ribosomal RNA", at positions 99 to 334 of the family's 1533-position model. The record is from RNAcentral.